RNAcentral lists this ribosomal RNA (575 nucleotides) under uncultured rumen bacterium. Its description in RNAcentral is "bacterial SSU rRNA". It matches the Rfam family "Bacterial small subunit ribosomal RNA", at positions 347 to 916 of the family's 1533-position model. The record is from RNAcentral.
GGCAGCAGCUAAGAAUAUUCCGCAAUGGACGAAAGUCUGACGGAGCGACGCCGCGUGGAUGAUGAAGGCCGGAAGGUUGUAAAAUCCUUUUAUGACUGAGGAAUAAGUGAAGUGAGAGAAACGCUUCAUGGUGACUGUAGGUCAUGAAUAAGCAACGGCUAAUUACGUGCCAGCAGCCGCGGUAACACGUAAGUUGCGAGCGUUGUUCGGAAUUAUUGGGCGUAAAGGGUAUGUAGGCGGUUCUGCAAGUCUGGUGUGAAAUGCCGGGGCUCAACCCCGGAACUGUGUUGGAAACUGCAGGACUUGAAUCGCUGAGGGGCAGCCAGAAUUCCAGGUGUAGGGGUGAAAUCUGUAGAUAUCUGGAAGAAUACCAAUGGCGAAGGCAGGCUGCCAACAGAUGAUUGACGCUGAGGUACGAAGGUGCGGGGAGCAAACAGGAUUAGAUACCCUGGUAGUCCGCACAGUCAACUAUGUACACUGGGUGUCCGCUCAUGAGAGUGGGUGCCGAAGCAAACGCGAUAAGUGUACCGCCUGGGGAGUAUGCCCGCAAGGGUGAAACUCAAAGGAAUUGACGG